AUUGAACGCUGGCGGCAGGCCUAACACAUGCAAGUCGAGCGGAUGAAGGGAGCUUGCUCCUGGAUUCAGCGGCGGACGGGUGAGUAAUGCCUAGGAAUCUGCCUGGUAGUGGGGGAUAACGUCCGGAAACGGGCGCUAAUACCGCAUACGUCCUGAGGGAGAAAGUGGGGGAUCUUCGGACCUCACGCUAUCAGAUGAGCCUAGGUCGGAUUAGCUAGUUGGUGGGGUAAAGGCCUACCAAGGCGACGAUCCGUAACUGGUCUGAGAGGAUGAUCAGUCACACUGGAACUGAGACACGGUCCAGACUCCUACGGGAGGCAGCAGUGGGGAAUAUUAGACAAUGGGCGAAAGCCUGAUCCAGCCAUGCCGCGUGUGUGAAGAAGGUCUUCGGAUUGUAAAGCACUUUAAGUUGGGAGGAAGAGCAGUAAGUUAAUACCUUGCUGUUGUGACGUUACCAACAGAAUAAGCACCGGCUAACUUCGUG
This 484-nucleotide ribosomal RNA is filed under the name uncultured bacterium. RNAcentral's name for it is "partial 16S ribosomal RNA". It matches the Rfam family "Bacterial small subunit ribosomal RNA", at positions 30 to 507 of the family's 1533-position model. The record is from RNAcentral.